This 27-nucleotide non-coding RNA is filed under the name Bombyx mori (domestic silkworm). Lineage: Eukaryota; Metazoa; Arthropoda; Insecta; Lepidoptera; Bombycidae. The record is from RNAcentral.
UACGUGGUGUGCUUGCAAUCGGUGGUC